AGCGGCGGACGGGUGAGUAACGCGUGGGAAUGUACCCUUCUCUAAGGAAUAGCCACUGGAAACGGUGAGUAAUACCUUAUACGCCCUUCGGGGGAAAGAUUUAUCGGAGAAGGAUCAGCCCGCGUUGGAGUAGAUAGUUGGUGGGGUAAUGGCCUACCAAGUCUACGAUCCAUAGCUGGUUUGAGAGGAUGAUCAGCCACACUGGGACUGAGACACGGCCCAGACUCCUACGGGAGGCAGCAGUGGGGAAUCUUAGACAAUGGGGGAAACCCUGAUCUAGCCAUGCCGCGUGAGUGAUGAAGGCCUUAGGGUCGUAAAGCUCUUUCGCCAGGGAUGAUAAUGACAGUACCUGGUAAAGAAACCCCGGCUAACUCCGUGCCAGCAGCCGCGGUAAUACGGAGGGGGUUAGCGUUGUUCGGAAUUACUGGGCGUAAAGCGCACGUAGGCGGACUAGUCAGUCAGAGGUGAAAUCCCAGGGCUCAACCCUGGAACUGCCUUUGAUACUGCUAGUCUUGAGUUCGAGAGAGGUGAGUGGAAUUCCGAGUGUAGAGGUGAAAUUCGUAGAUAUUCGGAGGAACACCAGUGGCGAAGGCGGCUCACUGGCUCGAUACUGACGCUGAGGUGCGAAAGUGUGGGGAGCAAACAGGAUUAGAUACCCUGGUAGUCCACACCGUAAACGAUGAAUGCCAGUCGUCGGGCA
RNAcentral lists this ribosomal RNA (700 nucleotides) under uncultured Alphaproteobacteria bacterium. Its description in RNAcentral is "bacterial SSU rRNA". It matches the Rfam family "Bacterial small subunit ribosomal RNA", at positions 94 to 829 of the family's 1533-position model. The record is from RNAcentral. Lineage: Bacteria; Pseudomonadati; Pseudomonadota; Alphaproteobacteria.